UACGUAGGGUGCAAGCGUUGUCCGGAAUUAUUGGGCGUAAAGAGCUCGUAGGUGGCCUGUCGCGUCGGCUGUGAAAACUCGGGGCUCAACUCCGAGCUUGCAGUCGAUACGGGCAGGCUAGAGUUCGGCAGGGGAGACUGGAAUUCCUGGUGUAGCGGUGAAAUGCGCAGAUAUCAGGAGGAACACCGGUGGCGAAGGCGGGUCUCUGGGCCGAUACUGACGCUGAGACGCGAAAGCGUGGGGAGCGAACCGG
RNAcentral lists this ribosomal RNA (253 nucleotides) under uncultured bacterium. RNAcentral describes it as "partial 16S ribosomal RNA". It matches the Rfam family "Bacterial small subunit ribosomal RNA", at positions 524 to 776 of the family's 1533-position model. The record is from RNAcentral.